This is a long non-coding RNA of Pecten maximus, 1634 nucleotides long. RefSeq lists it as uncharacterized. The transcript has 3 exons. The record is from RefSeq and is a predicted model, not a curated record. NCBI's taxonomy places the organism in Eukaryota, Metazoa, Mollusca, Bivalvia, Pectinida, Pectinidae.
AGUAAGAUGCGCGAGAUCCACGCUUUGGCUGCAUCACAAGCAUGAGUGCCAUGUCCUUCAGGGGAAUGUCUAACGUCAGGACAUUCACCGGGUCAGGGUUUUAAAGCGAGCGUGAUCUAGCUCUGGAUAGAUGAAUUAGCAAUGGGGGUCUUAGGAAUCUCAAGAUGGUUCAUUCAUUUCUCAAUUCGUUCCGUCACUUCCUUCACAAUGUUUAACUCAUGGCACAGACAUGAAUCUGGUACAAGUUAAGCAAUACAGCGUCAUGAUUGGAGCGCCAGGUCUGUGUGGUCCAGGCCUGGUAAUCCAAUGGACCACCAUGUGUCAGACUGUUAUUGCUUGUAAAUCUUGUAUUGGGUGAUUGUUUGUGUCUUGGGUUAAAUACUUGGGAAGGAACGGACAGAUCUAGUUGAGACUUGAACAAGUCAUCUUGUGAUUUCUGAUAUCUCUAUUGGUUUGAAGUCUAUGUGGAGUCAAGGUUGCGUAAACUUGAAGAAUCCCGGCUAUAAGGACGGACUGCCAUGCCCCACCAAACCCCAGACGGGAUCGGACGGGAACGGACGGGAUCAGACGGGGUCGGACGGGACCCAGACCAUCUUCUUCUUUUUUUUUCCCUUUUUUUCUGUUUCAGGUGGUUCUGUUGAGGAGGCCUCCCCGUGGCAGAACUGGUAACAGCUUAACAUAUUUAUCGGCAAAUAAGCCCAUGCCUAAAAAUUGGCCAUUCCCCCGCCAAAUCAUUUUUGCAGAAUAAUUGAUUUAACCUAAAAAAAAAAGUACUCCCCAAAUUUUGAUACUAAACUUAAAUGCUAGGGCAGGGGAUUUAUUCAACAUAAAUAUGGUACACAUAAAUCUAUGUUUAUGUGGGCUGGCUAACAUCCUCAUUCUGUACAUGUCUCCCCUUAAAAGUAUGGAAAUACUUUGUAUUUGUACCGUCUUUCAACAAUUUCUUGUCUGGGUAACUACUUCUAAAUCGUAUAUACGUCUUGGCAGAACUAGCUGCUAGCUAGGUCACUGUGACCUUGAUACAGAAGGUCAAAUAACUGAAUUUUUGUUUCAAUCAGUUUCUUGUCUAGCUAGGCUGUAUCUUUUAAAACAAAUAAAAUUGUAAACCUUUAUCACUCAAUGAAGAAGAACGGGGCCCGGACUUUCUUUCUGCGGAUGAUAUACAUUUUUAUCAAUCUUUAAUUUUUUGUAUGCAUUAUUUUCAUGAUAUGUAGUUGAUUUCCUGAAAGGAAUUUUAAUUCGUCAUUUUUAUAUUUUUUUGGGCAAAAGUUAUUGCCCUUUGUUUAUUUCAAGGCACCUAGCUGCUUCAUUUUUUGACCAAUUUCCUUGAAACUUUUAGGCUUUAUAAUCAUGAUAUACAUGUAUAGAGCAUUUUGAUUGACUAUUUUUUCAAAAAUGAUUGGCCAUUAUUUAUUUUUUGUACUUUGAUCUUGCUCCAGCCUAUGGUAUUUUAGUUCCAAUAAUUUCUUGUUUGGAUCUUCUGUAAACUGAUCAAGGCUGAUAUUAAAUUAGGGGAGACAUGUUCUUUCUUCACAAACCUCUAUUCCCAUUUUUUGAAUGCUCUCAUUGCUCUCCCAAUUUCUAGCAAAACAUGUAUGCUAGCACCUGAAAUUUUCCUUGUUAAUAAACAGAUU